GUCUCAGUAGCAUAGUGGUUAGGGAACAGGCCCGGAAAGGUUGAGACGCGGGUUCGAUUCCCGCCUCAGAUG
Molecule: transfer RNA, 72 nt
Filed under: Nippostrongylus brasiliensis
Lineage: Eukaryota; Metazoa; Nematoda; Chromadorea; Rhabditida; Heligmosomidae
Rfam family: tRNA
About the family: Transfer RNA (tRNA) molecules are approximately 80 nucleotides in length.
Source: Rfam by way of RNAcentral